Rosa chinensis is the source of this 1128-nucleotide RNA transcript. It is a transcript of the gene named U4/U6.U5 small nuclear ribonucleoprotein 27 kDa protein, with no coding region annotated. Lineage: Eukaryota; Viridiplantae; Streptophyta; Magnoliopsida; Rosales; Rosaceae. The transcript is spliced from 4 exons. The record is from RefSeq and is a predicted model, not a curated record.
UGAAAACCCUUUCUUCUUCACUCUCACACAGACCGAGUAUGGGAGACCGAGAGAGAGAGCGAGACAGAGAACGAGACCGGGAGAGAAUCCGAGACCGGGAUCGAGACAGAGACAGACGCCGUGACAGAGACGACCGUGAUCGUGACCGCGACCGUGUCCGGAGCAAGAGGUCACGCACGCCGGAGCGCAGCAGAGCACGCCACACGCGCUCCCGCACGCGCUCGCCGGACUUGUACCACUCACGCUCCCUCUCCCGUUCCCGCACUCCAGAAGACCGCUCCCACCGCCGCCGCCACCACCACCGCAGCCCCUCCCCGGAGUCGCGGAAGCGUGCGCGGCGCGAGCCGACGGUGGAGGAGGAGAAGGACCGGCAGAAGGUGGUGUCGGAAUUCGUGGAGGGGAUUGCGAAGGAGCAGCAGAAGCAGAGCAGCGGUGGUGGAGAGGGCGGUGCGGACGAGGACGAGGUUGAGAUGAUGAAGAAGUUGGGGAUUCCGGUAGGGUUUGAUUCCACGAAGGGGAAGCCGGUGCAGGGGGCCGAUGUGAGUGGUGUUAGGGCCGUCACGAAGCGCCAGCCUAGACAGUACAUGAACCGCCGCGGCGGAUUUAACCGGCCAUUGCCUGCAGAGCGCAAUCGCUAGAAUACUGGAGUUUAUAAGCCGGAUUAGGCAGAAUGGGUCACUUAUGGAUUCACAGUUGCUUAUCUGGAGCAACUUAUUCCAAUAAGACUCCUCCUCUGUAGAGGUAUGGGGUUUGACCUUCUAUCGGUGGGUUGGGUGGGAGGUUCUUCUAAUGUUGGAACACCCUUGACGUACCCUUUCUUGUUCAUGAGGAAACGUAUGGUCAUAAGAAAGAUAUUGCUUGCCAGGAGAGCAUUAUCUUGUCACCAGGUCCUCAGUGACUUUGAUGUUGAAAGGCACCAGCAGGAGAACAAUCAAUGUGAAAUUGGAGAUCAUUCUUGUGAUUUGAUGGAAGUAAUGCAUCUUAUGUUUUGAGUCCGACUGAAAAAAUUAGUCAUAGCUGGACUAGUUUCAGUGCCUUGGAUUUGUCUUCUGAAUUCAUAAUCUGAACCAAAUUGAAGUGAUCCAAAUUGAAGAUUUGCAAUGCAUAUAUCUUGAAACUUUUUUUGUA